GAAUACUCCAUUUGCUCCUUAAAAUAGACACCAUUAUCUGUUGAAUUGGCAGGAGUACAGUGAGAGAAAAAAUAAAUUUUAUCCAUGUUAUUGCUGCCUUUCACUGAUAUGUAGGUCAAAGUGUUCCAAAUAAAACAGAAGAAAACCCUGAGUUCCAGAGCAUUAGACAGAAUUCCCUUUUACAGGCAAAAAGUUGUGGGGGUCCCAAAGCCAUCUAGAUAGGGAGUGCAUUCUACCAGAUACAAAAAUGUGGCAUCUAUGGGGAAAAAAUUUUGGAAAAUAGCUUCUGUGCUCUAUCUAGGAUGUGCUCUUGGCUGGUUUUCUGUUAAUCUGUAUAACAUUCACUCAUUGGGCAAGCAGACAGCCAUGAAUUUUUGCCUUGUAAUGUUUGCAGACAUCCAAGUUGAGGGCAUCUGGAGAGAGGUUCCAUUCAGGAUGCUCAGAAGAAACAGCUCUGCACGCAGGAAGCUGGAGAUCCCAUUUUCUUCUGUUAAUGAGAACAAAGGCCUGCAUAUCAGCUUUGUGAACAGAGUAUGAGGUCUUUCUAAAUGAACUCAUACACAUGCAGACAGUGCUUCAUCCAGCCCUCCAAGGGAGACAAUGAAGAACUGGCUUCAAGGAUACAACCGGUAGAAGAAAGCCAGUGCCAUCAGUUCACUUACAUCUGUUUGACAGAUCAGUCCUGGCAUGAGCACUGGCUUUCCUAGCUAUAUUAGCUCUUAGCCAAAUGUACUGACAGCUAGAAAAGAAAUAUUUUAGGAGGUAAACAUAUUCACAGUGUACUGAGCAGUCUUCACUGCCCUUUAAUCUAUAGCAUCUUUGGAACAUAUAAACAAAUUGAAGAUGGGAAGGAAGGCAAAAGAAAAGGAAAAAAUAUUUUUUCUUCCUGUAAAUAUUGCUAAUGGAACAGAGCUGUACCAUAUGCCUGUGCAAACAAAAUUCUGAACUGAGAAAACUGCUUAAAUUUACCUGCUUCUUACUGGAAAUACUUUCUCUUUAUCAUAAAAUAUUUAAUAAUAACUUUUUAUUUAAUUGUGGCAAUUAGAAGCUUUUUUGGAUUUGUCUUUAUCCUCCUA
This 1076-nucleotide long non-coding RNA is filed under the name Numida meleagris (helmeted guineafowl). RNAcentral describes it as "lncRNA (ENSNMEG00000019140.1)". Lineage: Eukaryota; Metazoa; Chordata; Aves; Galliformes; Numididae. The record is from RNAcentral.